This 253-nucleotide ribosomal RNA is filed under the name uncultured Bacteroides sp. RNAcentral's name for it is "partial 16S ribosomal RNA". It matches the Rfam family "Bacterial small subunit ribosomal RNA", at positions 524 to 776 of the family's 1533-position model. Lineage: Bacteria; Pseudomonadati; Bacteroidota; Bacteroidia; Bacteroidales; Bacteroidaceae. The record is from RNAcentral.
UACGGAGGAUCCAAGCGUUAUCCGGAUUUAUUGGGUUUAAAGGGUGCGUAGGCGGUUUGAUAAGUUAGAGGUGAAAUACCGGUGCUCAACACCGGAACUGCCUCUAAUACUGUUGAACUAGAGAGUAGUUGCGGUAGGCGGAAUGUAUGGUGUAGCGGUGAAAUGCUUAGAGAUCAUACAGAACACCGAUUGCGAAGGCAUCUCACGAAUCCGCGAUUGACGCUGAUGCACGAAAGCGUGGGUAUCAAACAGG